This 2494-nucleotide long non-coding RNA is filed under the name Marmota monax (woodchuck). Lineage: Eukaryota; Metazoa; Chordata; Mammalia; Rodentia; Sciuridae. The record is from RNAcentral.
CAAUGAGUCAAUCUUUAACAUCUAACCUUCAGUACUGUGAUUCUGCUUUUCUGUUGCUUAAGCCACUCAAUUUGUGCUACUUUAUUACCAUAUCACUAAUAAACUAAAAUUCUGGCCAAGAAAUUGGAAAUAAAAAGCAAUAUGGCAAUUAUCCAGACAAUACAGCAAAAGCCAACUUAAAAAAAUUCUAGGUAUUUGAGGCAGUUUCCCUCAUAUUUUAUAAUUCAAGAUUUUAGAUAUUUAAUUAUCUCCAUUAAAAGUGUUAUGUUAUUGGCUUUCUUUUAAAAAUGGCAUAAAAUAUGUAUCUCACUUAGCAUUUAGGGUUAUACAUAUUUACAGUAAAAGUAAGAACAUUAAUGAGAUGUAUUGAUACAUACCUGAUAUAGAAGAGAUAUCUCAUUAGGAUAGUAAGGUGAAGUCAACAAUUUCAAUCACAUUUUAUUUCUGUAAAAAAGCUAAGAUACAUAUGGAAAAUUUUAAACAUUUAUUACAUAAGGAUAUAGCUACAUUGGUGUUUGUUAUAAUUUCGGUAUAAUCCUUUUAUUGUGGUCAGAAAUCCAUACCGUAACAUUUAUCAUCUUAACCACUUUUUAGUGUAUAGUAACACUACUAGUAUUAACCAAUUGCACAUUGUUUUGGGACAGAUCUCCAGGACAUUUCAUCUUAGAUGACUAAAAAUCUAUAUUCCUUUAACAAAAUCUCCUCUAUGUACCUUUAUAUGUUUGAUAGUAGGAAAAGAAUCACAUAUUAAAUACACUUAUUAUUUCUACCUUUAGAAGGCAAAAAUAUAUUUCUCCUUAACAAUAUGUAUGUAAGGAAGACAGAAUCCUUUGUGGAACAUUGGUGGUUAAUAAUUCAAUAAUUCAUGGCCAUAUACCUAUUACUUCAUACACAAGUAUGAGUAAUAUUAAGGAUUUACUUCUUAAUUCGAAAACAUUCUUGGCCAGAUGCGGUGGCACACUCCUGUAAUCCCAAGUGGCUUGGGAAGCUGAGGCAGGAGGAUUGUAAGUUUCAAAGCCAGCCUCAGCAACAGAGACUCUGUCUCUAAAAAAAAUACAAAAUAAGGCUGGGGAUGAGGCUUAGUGAGUGCCCCUGAGUUCAACCCCCAAAACCCCUCAAAAAUAAAAAAACAAACAAAUCUUAUCAUGGAAUUGGCCCAUCACUGUUGUCUAUGUUCUCUUUUCAGUAUUUAAGACUUACAUAGUGCCUUCAAAUAAAAAACAAAAAAACAAGCCUAUCUUCCUCCAUGGCACUUCACUAAGUAGGAAACUAUAAACAUCAUUUUAACUACAAACGAAUUCAAUUUGUAGUUAAUAUAAUGUCUAAGAUUUUGUCUCUAAAUAUAAGGAUGUCAUCUAUGAAAUGUGUAAAGGAGAGCUCAAAUCUGCAUAACCCCUUAGGGGGGAGUUAACAAAAAGAAUUAAGUUACUCAUUUAGAAAAUUUGCCUUUUCUUCUCAAAGGCUCUAGAUCUUAUUAUUUCACUGAACAAACUAUUUUUUUCUUUUAAUACUAAAAGCAAAAGUUCUUGCACAAAGUCACAAAUAAUUUAAAGAAGAAGAAUGUGAAUGUGGCUUCAUAGUCAUUAGAGUAAAGGAGAUUCAUUCCAUAGUGUCAGGUCAAAUGCUUCAUGCUUUGCUUUAAUGAUUCUGUUCCUACUACCCUUUUCUGAGACAAAUACAAUAACAGUACAUUUUAUAGGGGGUCACCUUCUAAAACUAUUGAUUUUUCUAAUAGGAAUCCAGGAAGAACUUAUGAUAUAACACAAUGUGUUCUUACCUGUCUGUGAUACUCUUUAAGGAACUAGCAAUAAUCUGUCAUUAGGGAAUGAGCCAAUGAUCCUAUUCUUUUCAAUAAUAUGGAGCCUCUAUCUUCACUAUUGAAAAAAUUUAAAAAAUCCAUUUUUCAAAAAACGCUUUAUUAUUGAUAUAGUAUGAGAAAAAAACCCUUCAAACUUAAUUUUUCUUGAAGUAGAAAUACAGUCAACUUGCUCUCUGUUUGAAGGUUCUGCAUUUGCAAACCAACUGUGAGUCAUAUAAAAAAAUUUGCAUCUGUACUGAACACACAGAGACUUUUUUGUUCAUUGUUCCCUGAGCAAUACAGUAUAACACCUUUUUCUUAGGAUUCAUAUUUUAUUAGAUAUUUCAAGUGAUCUAGAGCUGACUUAAAGUAUACAGUAAGGUUGUGUAGAUUAUGUGUAAAUAAUGUAACAUUUUAUAUAAGCAACUUGAGCAACAGCAGAUAUUAAUACGCCAGGCUACCUGGAACCAAUCCCCCAUGGAUCCAAUUAAAUUACCAGUAUUAAUAGCUAUAAAUAAAUGGAAAAAAAUAUAACCUUUACAAUAAAAUGGAUGGGGUUUCAAAAAAUGUUUGUAGAGCAAUUACUGGAACUUCCUGGCAAUACUUGCUGAAGCAGAUAUUUUACUUCCUUGAAUUAUUAAUUUAAUCUUUACCCUAUUCAUUUUACUUUGGAUGAUGAUUAUAAAAAGAUUUUUC